GGGCUUGACCGUGGCUGGUCCUUCUAAAGCACCGCGCCUGGCAGCGGUGUGGCUGCCGGGGCGCUGCGGGUUCUUAGUGCGUCACGGGCGGGUUCCUGUGUUCCGGUCGAACCCGAUCCCUUCGCCGAUGAGCAGGCAGGCCUCUUCCAGUUGCACUGAUACCCAUCCCCGUGCCCUCUUGACCCCCCCCCACAGGAAGUGAUCACCAACGAGCACGUCGUGGCCAUGAUGAAAGCCGCCAUCAGCGAGACGCAGGACAUGCCCAUGUUUGAGCCCAAGAUGACCCGGUCCAAGCUGAAAGAAGUGGUGGAGAAGGGCGUGGUCAUUCCUACCUGGAACAUCUCCCCCAUCAAGAAGGCGAAAGAGGUGAAGGUGAACG
This is a non-coding RNA of Lepisosteus oculatus (spotted gar), 379 nucleotides long. NCBI's taxonomy places the organism in Eukaryota, Metazoa, Chordata, Actinopteri, Semionotiformes, Lepisosteidae. The record is from RefSeq and is a predicted model, not a curated record.